GAUGAACGCUGGCGGCGUGCCUAAUACAUGCAAGUCGAGCGAACAGACGAGGAGCUUGCUCCUCUGACGUUAGCGGCGGACGGGUGAGUAACACGUGGAUAACCUACCUAUAAGACUGGGAUAACUUCGGGAAACCGGAGCUAAUACCGGAUAAUAUAUUGAACCGCAUGGUUCAAUAGUGAAAGACGGCUUUGCUGUCACUUAUAGAUGGAUCCGCGCCGCAUUAGCUAGUUGGUAAGGUAACGGCUUACCAAGGCAACGAUGCGUAGCCGACCUGAGAGGGUGAUCAGCCACACUGGAACUGAGACACGGUCCAGACUCCUACGGGAGGCAGCAGUAGGGAAUCUUCCGCAAUGGGCGAAAGCCUGACGGAGCAACGCCGCGUGAGUGAUGAAGGUCUUCGGGUCGUAAAGCUCUGUUAUUGGGGAAGAACAAAUGUGUAAGUAACUAUGCACGUCUUGACGGUACCUAAUCAGAAAGCCACGGCUAACUACGUG
Molecule: ribosomal RNA, 497 nt
Filed under: uncultured bacterium
Lineage: Bacteria
Description: partial 16S ribosomal RNA
Rfam family: Bacterial small subunit ribosomal RNA
Source: RNAcentral